Molecule: non-coding RNA, 72 nt
Organism: Candidatus Gottesmanbacteria bacterium RBG_16_38_7b
Lineage: Bacteria; Candidatus Gottesmaniibacteriota
Source: Rfam
GCCAGGGUAGCUCAGUGGUAGAGCACCACAUUCAUAACGUGGCGGCCGAGAGUUCGAUCCUCUCCCCUGGCA